RNAcentral lists this transfer RNA (78 nucleotides) under Flexibacter sp. CG_4_10_14_3_um_filter_32_15. Its description in RNAcentral is "tRNA-Val". It matches the Rfam family "tRNA". From Rfam's summary of the family: Transfer RNA (tRNA) molecules are approximately 80 nucleotides in length. The record is from RNAcentral. Lineage: Bacteria; Pseudomonadati; Bacteroidota; Cytophagia; Cytophagales; Flexibacteraceae.
GGACUAUUAGCUCAGUUGGUUUAGAGCACUACCUCGACAAGGUAGGGGUCAUUGGUUCGAAUCCAAUAUGGUCCACAA